This is a long non-coding RNA of Cervus elaphus (red deer), 1115 nucleotides long. RefSeq lists it as uncharacterized. Lineage: Eukaryota; Metazoa; Chordata; Mammalia; Artiodactyla; Cervidae. The record is from RefSeq and is a predicted model, not a curated record. The transcript has 2 exons.
CCACUCCUCUCUUCUUGGGAACCCCUAAACAGACUCUCUUCCCCUCCCCUUGUCUGUUAAGCGUGCUCCCCUCUGCCUUGGACGCCGCAGUCCGCGGACCCGAGUCCAGCCUGGACCAGCACAGCGCAGAGCGUGGGCUUUUCACUCUGCCAAUUACUGCAACCUUGAGGCCUAUAGGCAGUGUGGACCUCGGGCAAGUUGUAAAACAAAAGGACUUCUGGGACCCUUCUCAGGGAGGAAAGGGAUGCUGGAGCUGCUGCAGCCCUUUUGGCACCUUGAGGUAAGUCAGCCUCUAAGUGAAGAAACCAUGUGCUUCCUGCCAAAUUCCAAAGACCCUUCCCUGGGAACUUCCCACUUCAUCCCAAGUACCUUCAAAAGGAAGACCCUACCUGGCAAAUCUCCAGCCUCUGACAACUGCACUGCACCAUGGCUGACAUGUUUCUCUUUUUAGAAGCUUCUGGAAGCUGGGUGCAUUUGACCACUGAGAGGCUGAGCCCCCAUCAUCAGCCGUCAUCCCUGGCAGCACUGGUCUCUGAAUGGCAGGCUUGGAGGUUUUUUUUUCUUUAUGUCUCUCCAGAGAGACAUUUUGAAGACUUCUCUGAUUCAUUAUGAUGACUUUGCUUUUUUUUUUUCUCCCCCAGUGCUGCUUUCCUUGGUUCAAAACAAAAAAAUUUCCAUAACAUCACACAAAUGCUUUGGCUCCAAGAGACUCUUACCGUCCAGAAUGAAAAUUAAGUUAGUUGAAAAAUCUUCCUGCCUUGUAUCCAAACACCACAGAACUGGAGUGAAGUUCAUUAGCCCAGACCAGGAGUGGGACCGAGGACAUUUGGGAACAGGCAAGCAAUGGGGCUCAUCAAGUCAAUGCAUUCAACUAACGUUAUUGUUCAUUUGCCAAGUCUUUCACUACCUGUGUUGCUUGAAGCUUCAGCUUCAGCAAUAGUCCUUCCAAUGAAUAUUCAGGACUGAUGUCCUUUAGGAUGGACUGGUUGGAUCUCCUUGCAGUCCAAGGGACUCUCAAGAGUCUUCUCCAGCACCACAGUUCAAAAGCAUCAAUUCUUCGGUGCUCAGCCUUCUUUAUGGUCUAACUCUUGUGAAUAAACUCUUUCUCUACUGCA